RNAcentral lists this ribosomal RNA (825 nucleotides) under Leptosphaeria zhaotongensis. Its description in RNAcentral is "Leptosphaeria sp. YG-2022b partial large subunit ribosomal RNA". It matches the Rfam family "Eukaryotic large subunit ribosomal RNA", at positions 86 to 929 of the family's 3401-position model. Lineage: Eukaryota; Fungi; Ascomycota; Dothideomycetes; Pleosporales; Leptosphaeriaceae. The record is from RNAcentral.
ACGGCGAGUGAAGCGGCAACAGCUCAAAUUUGAAAUCUGGCCCUUUUAGGGUCCGAGUUGUAAUUUGCAGAGGGCGCUUUGGCGUUGGCAGCGGUUCAAGUUCCUUGGAACAGGACGUCACAGAGGGUGAGAAUCCCGUACGUGGUCGCUAGCCUUCGCCGUGUAAAGCCUCUUCGACGAGUCGAGUUGUUUGGGAAUGCAGCUCUAAAUGGGAGGUAAAUUUCUUCUAAAGCUAAAUACUGGCCAGAGACCGAUAGCGCACAAGUAGAGUGAUCGAAAGAUGAAAAGCACUUUGGAAAGAGAGUCAAAUAGCACGUGAAAUUGUUAAAAGGGAAGCGCUUGCAGCCAGACUUGCCCGUAGUUGCUCAUCCAGGCUUUUGCCUGGUGCACUCUUCUAUGGGCAGGCCAGCAUCAGUUUGGGCGGCUGGAUAAAGGUCUCUAUCACGUACCUCCUUUCGGGGAGGCCUUAUAGGGGAGACGACAUGCAGCCAGCCUGGACUGAGGUCCGCGCAUUCGCUAGGAUGCUGGCGUAAUGGCUGUAAGCGGCCCGUCUUGAAACACGGACCAAGGAGUCUAACAUCUAUGCGAGUGUUUGGGUGUCAAGCCCGAACGCGCAAUGAAAGUGAACGGAGGUGGGAACCCUUAAGGGUGCACCAUCGACCGAUCCUGAUGUCUUCGGAAGGAUUUGAGUAAGAGCAUAGCUGUUGGGACCCGAAAGAUGGUGAACUAUGCUUGAAUAGGGUGAAGCCAGAGGAAACUCUGGUGGAGGCUCGCAGCGGUUCUGACGUGCAAAUCGAUCGUCAAAUUUGGGCAUAGGGGCGAAAG